This 1467-nucleotide unclassified non-coding RNA is filed under the name Ixodes scapularis (black-legged tick). Its description in RNAcentral is "uncharacterized LOC121836199, transcript variant X2". The record is from RNAcentral. Lineage: Eukaryota; Metazoa; Arthropoda; Arachnida; Ixodida; Ixodidae.
UCUGCCCGUGCCUAGAUCUGGGGACAACGCCAGCGUAGGGAAAACCGCUCGUAGGGAAUCCGUUCGCGUAGUGGUGAUGAUGAUGAUAGCGUCACGUAUGACUCGCACACUGGCUCGCUGGCCUCGCCGUUUUUAACGGUUCUCAGUUUGAACUUCGGAUGUGGUUGCUGGUUGCUCCGUAGCUUUUGUGCAUGCUAGCGGCAUAACGCCGACCCAGAUAAGUACAAGUGCAUGAUUUGUGACAUGUGCUUCAAGAAAAUCUACAACUUAAAGAGGCACCUAAAGGAGGUUCACGGGGACGCUGACACGAGCUGGAUCACACUGUCCGCUGCCGCCUUGCAUGCGAUCUGUGUCCAACUCCACUUUGAAGCGAAACACGGGAUCGUCGCGAGGCGUGACAAGUUCAAUUUGUUGAAAGAAUUCAGUGACUGGAGGGAGGCUAAGGAUGGCAGAGAGCAUGUUCGCUUCAUUCUCCACGACGGACCCAAGGGACGAGAUGAGGGUGUCCUGAAAGGGUAUUACUACUGCCACCGCUCUGGAUCAUUUCAGAGCAAGAGAUGAGACUUCUCCAAAACCUAGGGUAAUCCCUCACAACAAAAAGGUGGAAAAACAACCACGGUACUUUCCCCCCCAAGAAACGCCCUGGUUCUGGUCCCAUGCAUGGCAAACCUCCCACCAGCUUGGAGCAGCAGCACAUCAUGUAGGGCCUCGUAGCCAGCCAAGAGGGAGUGACCACUGGCGACCACAAGCAUGAGGAUCUGCUACAGGAAGCAUGAUCAUGUACCUGGACCUCGAGACCGGUGGCCUUGGAGAUGUCAGCAAGGCUACGGGGUGAUUUGCUCACCACGAGGCUGUGCAAUUUAGUGGCAUGGAACUAGUGCCUCAUUUCGGAGAUCUCCAUGGCGAGUGAACAGUGUAAGGCUGGUGGGGCAAGAAGUUUAUUGGAAGGUUAUGCCAUGGUGAUCAACAUCCAUGACAGGUUCAUCUGCCGAACUAGCUAUGCAAUAGAGGCAAGCCUGCUAAGUCACUGGGACAUGGAUGCAUUAGUCGUCAGUGUGUGGCGCAGAGGACUUCUAGGGACAACUCCAGGAGACGAACAUGCAAUAUUUAUAUUCUGUCUAUAUUUUGGUGAACCAAUGUUACUGUUGACAUUUAAGUGUGGGACAUUUCGCUUGUGCGGCAAAAGAUAUGUCAGGUGUGUAAUGGGGUCCCACAAAAAAUACCUAUGCUUUGUCUUGAGCUAUGUUCAUAGAGGCAUGGCAAGGGGGGGCCAGAAGACUGAUGAAAGUUGUGCCGGUGAUGGUCACAGUUUGGGAAAUAAUCGCUUGUUUCUGGAAUAAUUACAACUGCAACUUCCGGUCCUAAAGAUGCCUGCAGCAGACUACGAAUACAAGAAGUAUGCCGUCUGCCACAAGCUGGCGCCAUCGUUUGAAUCGUGUGAAUAAAGACUAUAUUCUGAUAUUGUAU